RNAcentral lists this ribosomal RNA (170 nucleotides) under Blastodinium inornatum. RNAcentral describes it as "5.8S ribosomal RNA". It matches the Rfam family "5.8S ribosomal RNA". From Rfam's summary of the family: 5.8S ribosomal RNA (5.8S rRNA) is a component of the large subunit of the eukaryotic ribosome. It is transcribed by RNA polymerase I as part of the 45S precursor that also contains 18S and 28S rRNA. The record is from RNAcentral. Lineage: Eukaryota; Dinophyceae; Blastodiniales. RNAcentral also lists the same sequence under 1 other name.
AUUACACCUUUCAGCGAUGGAUGUCUGGGCUCGAACGUCGAUGAAGGGCGCAGCGAAGUGCGAUGAGCGUUGUGAAUUGCAGAAUUCAGUGAAUCAAUAGGGUCUUGAACGCAUACUGCGCUCUCGGGAUAUUCCUGAGAGCAAGUCUGCUUCAGAGUCUGAUCCAUAUU